ACGGGACCGGGUGGUCAGGCUCGCUGACUUGGUUGAAACAUGUGAUCGUAACCCAUUUGCGUAGAACGGUGUUCAUGUUGUUGAUCACCGGAUAGUCUGGCCCAGACUCGACAAUGCUACAGACGGCCGUCAUAUAGCU
Molecule: long non-coding RNA, 139 nt
Organism: Haliotis rubra (blacklip abalone)
Lineage: Eukaryota; Metazoa; Mollusca; Gastropoda; Lepetellida; Haliotidae
Exons: 3
Source: RefSeq, a predicted model, not a curated record